CCCUGUUGAGGUUAUCGGUAAAUUUCGAUGCCCCCCCUCCAAGUUUUUAAAAUUUUCAAUGCCCCCCCUCUAGAAUUCGGAAUCGAAGGAGUACAAUCCAGAAUUCUCUCUUAUCAUAGAUACAAUUUGCAGUUCCUCAAGAUGUCUGAUAUACUCAAGCAUGUGCUUCUCCUCAACAAAACUACCGAUCUGCUGCUUCUUUCACUUCACUAGCGCCAGAUGAAAUGGCACCGUCUUUAAAACAUUUUAAAUUGGCUCUAGGGGUGAAAUUAUCAACAGGUUGUUGUUGUCCAUCAUUCAGCGUAUUCGGAGUCUUGAACACGUUCAUGUAGUGGCCAGGAUUUCCUGGAUCAGGGUAAUGUGCUGGAACCUUACAGUAUGUCGCCCCCACCCAACGUAUCUCCCGGCAUCUGUUGCAAAUGUCUUUGCAUGCCUGUCAAAAAUGCAUGCAAAAGUGCC
Molecule: non-coding RNA, 459 nt
Organism: Paramuricea clavata
Lineage: Eukaryota; Metazoa; Cnidaria; Anthozoa; Malacalcyonacea; Plexauridae
Source: the annotation of a GenBank genome assembly